ACUGAUAACCCAGCAUCUUUACAAAGUGUUUAUGAGAACCUAGAGAACUUUCAGUCCUGGAUUUCCAGCGUGGAAAUAGGAUUAAAGGAAGUAGAACAGGGAA
Molecule: long non-coding RNA, 103 nt
Organism: Eurytemora carolleeae
Lineage: Eukaryota; Metazoa; Arthropoda; Copepoda; Calanoida; Temoridae
Exons: 3
Source: RefSeq, a predicted model, not a curated record